Molecule: long non-coding RNA, 701 nt
Organism: Hipposideros armiger (great roundleaf bat)
Lineage: Eukaryota; Metazoa; Chordata; Mammalia; Chiroptera; Hipposideridae
Exons: 2
Source: RefSeq, a predicted model, not a curated record
ACUCUUGAGCGAGCUCUUAACCAACUGAGUCACUCAGCCGGCCCGUACCUGUGUAUUUUUUAAUAUUCCUUUCUGAAUCGGUCUGAGUUCAAUUAGGAGAAAAGAAUUAAAGUUAUUGGGACACAGAAAGCUUUACCUAAAGAAUUGUUAACUUUAACAGAGGACUGGAUUAAUGAGGGAUUGGCAAGGAGAAUGCUGGAGAAUACAGAAAUAAUAGAUAAAAGUUGUAUCCUGCUCCCUGGUCUGAGAAAGAGUGCCCAAGAAGUGUCCCUUUUCUCUCUCCCCCUAGGACUGAGAUCCAGACCUUGUUGGAGAGGGCACGGCUGUGACUCACUGAAUGACAGAGAAGUUGCUAUGGUGCCCCAUCAGUAAAUCCUGUUGGAAAUCCACCCUUAAGAGCACCAGGAAAAGCUGCUGAAGGGAGUUGUUGAGAGGAGUGGAGUAGCAGGGGAGGCUGCUGGGUGAGGGGUGCUAAUGACUGGACUCUGAAGUUUCUCUUUUUCAUCCUUUAAAUGGUGCAGUGAACAGUGCUUUCUGACUGGAGAAAUCAAGAGGGAUGGGCAGACUAACUGAAAUUGCUAUUUUAUUAAAAGUAAUGUUGCUAAAGCUUUCGGGAUGACAGAUACAUUUCAGUAGCACCCAUGUAGUACCAAUUUUCUUUCCUACUCCUAGGAAUUAAAAUCUUCUCAAGUCGUCAAAAA